RNAcentral lists this long non-coding RNA (386 nucleotides) under Mytilus galloprovincialis (Mediterranean mussel). Lineage: Eukaryota; Metazoa; Mollusca; Bivalvia; Mytilida; Mytilidae. The record is from RNAcentral.
CUCUAGAACAGUUAAAGUACAUGGUGCCACAAAAUCAUCCCAUUAUUGCACAAAUGUAGUUAUUUGUGAACAUGGAUGCUAAUAAACAAUUGGCCAGCUAAUGAGUGAUUGCAAUAUGUAUAUAUAUAUAUAUAUAUAUAUAAAUGCAACAUUCAAAUGUCAUAUAAAAAAGAUGUGGUAUAAUUCAUUAUUGCCAAUGAGACAUUUACUCUCCACAAGAGCCCAAAUGACACAUAAAUUAACAACUAAGCCUGCUUUACUUAUGAUUGAAAAUUUUUUUUUUUAAUAAUAUCACAUAAACUUGAUCCAUGAAAAUGAAGGCAUGGUCAGUUUAACCAGUCAAGCAAAUACAGCUUACAAUCAUUUCAUAUACCAAUAUAGUGGCC